Molecule: ribosomal RNA, 434 nt
Filed under: Klebsiella pneumoniae
Lineage: Bacteria; Pseudomonadati; Pseudomonadota; Gammaproteobacteria; Enterobacterales; Enterobacteriaceae
Also listed under: 3 other names
Description: partial 23S ribosomal RNA
Rfam family: Bacterial large subunit ribosomal RNA
Source: RNAcentral
GGUUAAGCGACUAAGCGUACACGGUGGAUGCCCUGGCAGUCAGAGGCGAUGAAGGACGUGCUAAUCUGCGAAAAGCGUCGGUAAGGUGAUAUGAACCGUUAUAACCGGCGAUGUCCGAAUGGGGAAACCCAGUGUGAUUCGUCACACUAUCGUUAACUGAAUACAUAGGUUAACGAGGCGAACCGGGGGAACUGAAACAUCUAAGUACCCCGAGGAAAAGAAAUCAACCGAGAUUCCCCCAGUAGCGGCGAGCGAACGGGGAGCAGCCCAGAGUCUGAAUCAGCUUGUGUGUUAGUGGAACGGUCUGGAAAGUCCGACGGUACAGGGUGAUAGUCCCGUACACCAAAAUGCACAGGUUGUGAACUCGAAGAGUAGGGCGGGACACGUGGUAUCCUGUCUGAAUAUGGGGGGACCAUCCUCCAAGGCUAAAUACU